Spinacia oleracea (spinach) is the source of this 570-nucleotide long non-coding RNA. RefSeq lists it as uncharacterized. Lineage: Eukaryota; Viridiplantae; Streptophyta; Magnoliopsida; Caryophyllales; Amaranthaceae. The transcript is spliced from 3 exons. The record is from RefSeq and is a predicted model, not a curated record.
GCACCACCACCACGCUGAGCGCUCGUGGUUCUGCAAUAACCGCCGUCCUCGUCGUCCACCCUUGCACGCAACACCACCUCGCCGCACCGCCGCGUGCCGCCCAGCCUUCCUCGCCGCACCGCCGCGUGCCGCCCAGCCUUCCUCGUCGCCGGCAGUUCUCCCCCUUCCCUUAUUCGGCGGAGAAUUCUCUUUAGGCGACUUUUGAAAGUGUUAAAGUGGCCUAUCAGUUUGUUUACACAAGGUACGUACAUACCUGUGUGCUUGGAAUGUGUGCUAAUUGUUGAAACCAUGUGUAUUAUUGAUGAACCUGGUUAUGUUAAUGUUGUUGAUGAACUUAGUCGGGUUGAAACUGCAUGUUUGAUACUGUUGGAUGAACAUAUUAAACCUUUAUUGCAUUUUGAGGAUUAUAACAUGUUAGUAUGGAAGAUUGAUGCAAACAUGUUUGAUUGGGAACACUAGAUUGUUUAGUAUAUAAUUCAGAUCAGUUAAUUGUUGUUCCCUUUUUAGCUUUUCACUACUUUAUGAGGGCGGAGGACCUCAUUUAGUAAGUUGAAACCUUAUACCCAUAUU